Molecule: ribosomal RNA, 305 nt
Filed under: uncultured bacterium
Lineage: Bacteria
Description: bacterial SSU rRNA
Rfam family: Bacterial small subunit ribosomal RNA
Source: RNAcentral
UUUGGCCUACGGGAGGCAGCAGUGGGGAAUUUUGGACAAUGGGCGCAAGCCUGAUCCAGCUAUUCCGCGUGUGGGAUGAAGGCCCUCAGGUUGUAAACCACUUUUGUAGAGAACGAAAAGACACCUUCGAAUAAAGGGUGUUGCUGACGGUACUCUAAGAAUAAGCACCGGCUAACUACGUGCCAGCAGCCGCGGUAAUACGUAGGGGGCGAGCGUUAAUCGGAAUUACUGGGCGUAAAGGGUGCGCAGGCGGUUGAGUAAGACAGAUGGGAAAUCCCCGAGCUUACCUCGGGAAUGGCAUAUGG